UGGUCAUGAUGUUUUGUAUAGGAAUA
This 26-nucleotide non-coding RNA is filed under the name Mus musculus (house mouse). Lineage: Eukaryota; Metazoa; Chordata; Mammalia; Rodentia; Muridae. The record is from RNAcentral.